GGAUUUGUGGCUCAGUGAUAGAGCACUCGCCUAGCACGUGUGAGAAUCUGGGUUCAAUCCUCAGCACCA
This 69-nucleotide transfer RNA is filed under the name Marmota monax (woodchuck). It matches the Rfam family "tRNA". From Rfam's summary of the family: Transfer RNA (tRNA) molecules are approximately 80 nucleotides in length. The record is from Rfam by way of RNAcentral. Lineage: Eukaryota; Metazoa; Chordata; Mammalia; Rodentia; Sciuridae.